This 590-nucleotide long non-coding RNA is filed under the name Homo sapiens (human). RNAcentral's name for it is "non-protein coding PROX1-AS1:70". The record is from RNAcentral. Lineage: Eukaryota; Metazoa; Chordata; Mammalia; Primates; Hominidae.
CCACCCCCACCCUGCCACAGCUUCGGGACGACUGGAUCGCCGCGCCUGGGCCGGAGCGAGCCAUCUGCGGGCACUAUGCAAAGCGGGAGACGGCGCGAGCGGCGCCCGGCUCACACUAGCUCUUCCAGGACGCAGGACAGAAGAGCUCCUUGGCACUGGAUGCCUCCGGGUCUGGUUGAGAGAGGAAUGGUUAGGAGACUGUUCUGAGGAUACGCAGACAUCAUCCAAAGCUUCCUACAUUCAGAUGAGGACAGAGGUUGGGCCAGAGCUUUGUAAGCUUGUUACCUAAGGAUGGUUCUGACCAUGUAAGCAGAUCACAGAAGCUGGAGGCAAAGGAUGCCAAGAUGGGAAAGCCACAUAAUGGAAGGAUCCUGGAUUUCAGAGCUGUCACUUGGAGGAGGGGCACCCAGUGAAGGUGUCUUAUCUAACCCACACCAUAUCUUCAUAGAGUGGCCAUAUGGAUUUGAUCCCUAUCCUUCAGAGGUGCUCAGCCUAAGGGAACACGGAUAGUAGAUUAAGCACUGACCAGAGCCAGCCUUGACAAUGUGCUGAUGGCAACCUAGAACAUAAGCAGAGGAGUAUACAGGACA